This 1394-nucleotide long non-coding RNA is filed under the name Neodiprion pinetum (white pine sawfly). RNAcentral describes it as "uncharacterized LOC124222550, transcript variant X1". Lineage: Eukaryota; Metazoa; Arthropoda; Insecta; Hymenoptera; Diprionidae. The record is from RNAcentral.
GUGACGGCAAAAAGGGAAACGGCGGCAGUUUGUAUUAGACGGCCCUGGUAAUUAACGGGACCAAAAGUCGGGCGUGCCUUGAAAUUCUGAUACACCUUCACGUUAACGCGGGAGAUGCUGGCUUUGCUGAAAACGAGGGGUUCUAACGGGCCUUGGGGUGUGCUUAAGUUGGGAUUUGAUUGGGAUGGCUAGGAGAAUUUUCGGUUCGCGGAUGAUGGUGCAGAUUAAUUUCUCGUCAUAGUUAUAGGAAUUAUGAUGAAAGUUGGGGACGCGUUCGCGGGACGUAACAUGAACGGAAGAUUGAUCAUCAUUCGUUUGACUGUUGGUCCUUCGUUUUUACCCCUGGACUUUUAAGUGGUUCGAGUAUACGAGAACCAUACCUACGGAUGUCGAAAUGCGCAGACUCUAAGUGGAUGUAACAAACGAUCGUGGUCCCUAUCUUUUCCUUUUCCUCUUCCUCUUCCUCUUCCUCAUCCUCUUCCGCCUAGUCUUCUCUCUAUAAAAUUCUAUUAUUUACCCAUUCUAAAUGCACCGCAGAAUCUGAUUCGAUUCGAAUUCCUUGUACGACAAGGCAUCGCCUCUAGAUCGCGUCUGCCUUCGACGUUUCAACUGUGAAAGGACAGCACCCUUUCUAGUUCCUCUCCUUUCCUACCACGAGAAUUGGCGAGGUAAACGAAUUCCGGUAUCGAUCUCGCCGAGGCUGUACGGUUAAGAGGGUUACGCAACAUACGUGGUGGUGCUGGGAUUAAGGCGGCACCUUAUACAUGUACGCCCGCUUGAACGAGCCUGCAAACGUGAACGAUACAGCCUAGGAACCCUUACUGCCAGGUUGGAAAGCAUUAUUUCUCCGGGGUGAGUUUACAAACACAGACUCUGCGUUUCUGGUAAAAGGACUCGUUGUUCGGUAACCCGCCAGUCUAAACCCAACGUGCCGGAGCAACGGAAGCCGGAAGUUGGUUUCCUUGGAGAAUUGCUGUUUACGUUGACCCAGAAGGACUCCGGCCGGACUAGCUUUGUCCUUGGGUCUUGAAUUCAGCGGCCUCGUAAGAGCGCGCAGUCUGUCUUUACAAGUUUAUGGUGGCAACGCAUGCUUCCUAAUGGUAUUUAUCGGACGCAUACGUCAGACUUCCACACAUAUAGCAAAUUCCCGUUUUUAUGGGCUACAUGAGGUGUAAUGAUAACAUCAGCGAGAAAGUCAGAGAUUAAUCAGUGUAGUUCUCGACCUUGAACAUUAGGUCAUUUGUGGGAUUUAUUCUAGAAAUCAAAUAUUGAACACAACAUCAUAAAUUUGUAGAUGAACAAUAUGUACAUAUUUAUUCAUACUUCGUUAAGUUACAUUAUGUAUUAUUAAACUAAGACAUUUUUUUAAAGACUACGAAUAAAUGGUGAAAUGU